RNAcentral lists this long non-coding RNA (1001 nucleotides) under Heterocephalus glaber (naked mole-rat). Its description in RNAcentral is "lncRNA (ENSHGLG00000050458.1)". Lineage: Eukaryota; Metazoa; Chordata; Mammalia; Rodentia; Bathyergidae. The record is from RNAcentral.
UUCCCACGCUGUGAGCCGCUCCCCUCCCCAGGCCCCGCCGCCAUGCUGUCCCUGCCUCGGAGCAGCCAACCGUGGACUGAACCCUCCUUAAACUGAGGGGACCCGCUGAUAUCUAAAGGGGGCAAAUCACCAACAAUCUUUCCCACAUGAUUGAGAAGUAGGAUGAAAACUCAGAUGUCGUACCUGGACAAGUCCACCACAUUUGCCAAGAGUUGACCUCCAAGAACAAAAUUUCCUUGAAGUUGGGGAGCAUAUACCAUACAUCAUUCUAUCUCCAUGGUGCUGAAGCGAAGGGAUUCAGCUGUGUCCUCUAAGAACUGAGCAGCAGUCAUCUACCCAGAAGUUCAGCGAACUCUGCAGUGAAAUAUGGAUGCCCAGGGCCAGUUUUCUAGUUGUGCAGUUCUGAGAAAUGUAAGCAACUUUUUGGCCUGAUGUCAGAGUCCACCAAGAGGUGGAAAGCACUGAGGAUUGAACUAAGGGCCUUUACACUGAGCUCCAUCCCCAGCUCUUUUUAUUUUGAGGUGGGGCCUCCUUAAGUCACCAAGUUGCCCAGGCUGGACUUGAGCCUGUGGCCCUCCUGGCUCAGCCUCCCAGGUUGCUGGGAUCACAGGAGCAUGACAGCACACCCAGCUCAUGUCAGGUUUUGAGAAAGAACUUCCUCCAUGUGUGGAGACGCAGUUCCCGAGCCUGGGUGAAGGUGUCCACACUGAUUGUGCAUCCCUGGUCUCCGCCGCCAUAGGCCGGGCGGACAGAUGCUGCCUUGCCCGGCCAUGACGCCACUCACUGUGGAAGUGAGGUGUGGGUGUGUGCUAGAAACCACGGCCCGGAGGGAGGCUGCUGUCAGCACCCAGUUCCCGUAAGGACUGCAGUUCCCUUCGCACCAAAUCUUACACUUUUAUCAAGAGCAUCUCUUUGUGCAGCAAGGCAUGUAUCAUUGGUUAAUUAAUGCUGCCAGCACGGCACUCUGCUAAAUGACUGUUUAGCCAAGAGUGGAAUAAAAU